This 253-nucleotide ribosomal RNA is filed under the name uncultured bacterium. Its description in RNAcentral is "partial 16S ribosomal RNA". It matches the Rfam family "Bacterial small subunit ribosomal RNA", at positions 524 to 776 of the family's 1533-position model. The record is from RNAcentral.
UACGGGGGAUGCAAGCGUUAUCCGGAUUUAAUGGGUUUAAAGGGAGCGUAGGUGGAUUGUUAAGUCAGUUGUGAAAGUUUGCGGCUCAACCGUAAAAUUGCAGUUGAAACUGGCAGUCUUGAGUACAGUAGAGGUGGGCGGAAUUCGUGGUGUAGCGGUGAAAUGCUUAGAUAUCACGAAGAACUCCGAUUGCGAAGGCAGCUCACUGGACUGCAACUGACACUGAGGCUCGAAAGUGUGGGUAUCAAACAGG